UGGCUCCAUGGGAGAGGGUCCUUCGCCUGUCAGAGCCUUCCCAGCUGGGAGAAGCGGUGCCGCCGGCUGUGGUCCCAGAGCCCUAUCAGCCGAGCCUGUGGCGAAUUAAUCACUUGCGUUUUAAAUGCCAAUACAGCCCUUUCUGCCUUCUUCCCCCAGUGAUGCGGAUGCGGCGAAGGCAGCAAAUCCUCCGGCUGUGCGUGCCCUCCCCGGACUGCUGCUCCAUCCCCGCCUGUCGUGCUCGCGCGUGUGCAUGGCUGGGAGUGCUGCCUAGGUGCGGCCAGGAAUGAGACAGCUGUGGGGCACGGAACAGUACAGCUCCAAGGGGUGACACAAGUGGGGGAUACCCCCCCUCUACACAAACAUCUGCAGGGCUGCAAGUUGCUUGAAGACAGGGGUCUUUUGUGCCUCCGCUUCAUCUCUGUCAUGCCCCGUAUGAAAUCAGGGAGCAAUCGCCCCUCCAGAAGCAGAAGGCAAAGUCGUUCGCAAUGAAUCCAUGGCAGCUUCGAUCGAGCGGUGAGCUGGAGCACCUACUCACAGGCCACUCCUUGAUGUGACUGAACAGAGACCUUUUCCAGCACUCGCCGAGGAGAGCAGAGCCCCGGAUUUACCUCCCGCGCACCCGGGCACCCCAGUGCAGGCACCGUGAGUGUCCUACUGGGAUCCUGGUGCUUUGGGCUUCCUCAUGUCAGGGACAGCUGGAGUUUGGGAGCUGCAAUCUUCCUCCUGA
This is a long non-coding RNA of Myiozetetes cayanensis, 730 nucleotides long. RefSeq lists it as uncharacterized. The transcript is spliced from 3 exons. NCBI's taxonomy places the organism in Eukaryota, Metazoa, Chordata, Aves, Passeriformes, Tyrannidae. The record is from RefSeq and is a predicted model, not a curated record.